GGAAUGAUGUAAAUAUAUGUGUUGUACCAGACACGACACAAGAAGUACUGCUGAAGAAGCAAAAGAAAAAAAAACACUCUCAGGCGUAACACAACAGUUUAAUGUUUAUACUGCAGAACAUGUGCACACUCAAUAUCACUUCACUGUCAUAAACACACAGUAAUUGGAUGCAAGAAGUUAGCAAUGGCCUGAAAUGGGGCCAACUGUGGUCAUCCGUUGGUCUGUUGUGCCUUGGGACUGGUGAUACAUAAGCAGAGGAGAGCUGUGCGUUAUUUCCAGUGGUUAAGGUCGCAUCCGGAGAGGAGAGCAGUGCGUUAUUUCCAGUAGUUAAGGUCGCAUCCGUAGAGGAGAGCUGUGCGUUAUUUCCAGUAGUUAAGGUCGCAUCCGGAGAGGAGAGCAGUGCGUUAUUUCCAGUCGUUAAGGUCGCAUCCGGAGAGGAGAGCAGUGCGUUAUUUCCAGUGGUUAAGGUCGCAUCCGGAGAGGAGAGCUGUGCGUUAUUUCCAGUCGUUAAGGUCGCAUCCGUAGAGGAGAGCUGUGCGUUAUUUCCAGUCGUUAAGGUCGCAUCCGUAGAGGAGAGCUGUGCGUUAUUUCAAGUAGUUUAAAAAAUGUCAAGCACAUGCUGGCACAUCCAGGUGAAGUGCUGCCAUUUCUUCUGCUUAAUAAUCACAUACCACUACCAC
Clupea harengus (Atlantic herring) is the source of this 680-nucleotide long non-coding RNA. The record is from Ensembl. Lineage: Eukaryota; Metazoa; Chordata; Actinopteri; Clupeiformes; Clupeidae.